Non-coding RNA from Penicillium egyptiacum, 114 nucleotides. Lineage: Eukaryota; Fungi; Ascomycota; Eurotiomycetes; Eurotiales; Aspergillaceae. The record is from the annotation of a GenBank genome assembly.
AGCCCGGCUGGCGCAAUUGGCAGCGCGCGUGACUUCUAUUCAGAAGCUCGUCUUCCCGACAAAGGAAGGCGGUGAUAAUCACGAGGUUGCAAGUUCAAGCCUUGCGUCGGGCUU